AAGCAUUAUGCGACAUGAAUUUUGAGAUAUGAUGGAGAGUACGUGAUCGAAUUUUUUUAGGAGUGCGAAGGGUAGGUUAAUGUUUGAUGAUUCUAGUAUAUUUGUGGUGUCAUGAGAUUUCGAGACUUUUAUUGGUUCCAAUGGAACUAUCAUUGAUUUUGACUUUCUUGGUGCUUCGGGUGUAAGGUUCUCCUCAUGCCUUGUUUUUUGUUUUCGUGAGUAAACAAGUAUUUUCUUGCCACUUUGUUUUUUUGCAUCUAUCCCUAAUUCAAGUUUCAUCCUGUAAAUUGCAUAGAAGGACUAGGUGGUAUGUUGACUUCCAGAGGGAAAAGAUCUAAGUUUAGGUAUCGAUUUUCACUUACAUUUUCCCCUUGAAGAGAGGUUCUAUGGAAGUAUGGUUUAUUUUCAAAGAACGUGAUGUCGAGAAUAAUAAUCACUACAACACAAGUUUUGGCAGGAACUAUUUCAACUCAUGGGUACACAAUUCCACUUAAGCUCUAUUUAUCACCCUUAAUCAGAUGGACAAACUGAAAGACUCAAUCAAUUACUAGAGACGUACUUAAGGUCCAUGACAUAUGAACAUCCUAAACAGUGGGAAAGAUGGUUUUCAUUGGCAUAGUGGUGGUAUAAUACGUCUUACCAUUCCUCCAUAAGAAUGACUCUCUUUAAAGCCCUUUAUGGAACCAAGCUACCUCAAUAGUCUCAGGAUCAUAACAGCAGUCAAAUGUUGCAGCUGUGGAAGAGUGGCUUCAACAAAGAUAUGAAUUAAAUUAGUAGUU
RNAcentral lists this long non-coding RNA (779 nucleotides) under Olea europaea subsp. europaea. Lineage: Eukaryota; Viridiplantae; Streptophyta; Magnoliopsida; Lamiales; Oleaceae. The record is from RNAcentral.